This 273-nucleotide ribosomal RNA is filed under the name uncultured bacterium. RNAcentral's name for it is "partial 16S ribosomal RNA". It matches the Rfam family "Bacterial small subunit ribosomal RNA", at positions 524 to 796 of the family's 1533-position model. The record is from RNAcentral.
UACGUAGGCAGCGAGCGUUGUUCGGAGUUACUGGGCGUAAAGAGUGCGUAGGCGGUGGCCUAAGUCUGGUGUGAAAUCUCCCGGCUCAACUGGGAGGGUGCGCCGGAAACUGGGUUGCUCGAGUGUGGGAGAGGUAAGCGGAAUUCCUGGUGUAGCGGUGAAAUGCGUAGAUAUCAGGAGGAACACCUGCGGUGUAGACGGCUUACUGGACCAUGACUGACGCUGAGGCACGAAAGCGUGGGGAGCAAACAGGAUUAGAAACCCCCGUAGUCC